CCUCAGCUUUGUUGAUCUCCUGACGCAAAGACUCUUUUUCAGAUACGGCGCGAAGAUAUUGAGUACUUUUGGCCUUCAGUUCAACAUUCUUGGCCAGCAAGGAGAGGACCUCGGAAUGGAUAACUUUCAACGUCGCUUUAAAAUCAGCAGAAAGAUUGAGCGACGGAAGUGUCAGUGCUUGCUCCAACUUCGCAUUCAAAUGCUCAAGCUUAUCCUUAUGUCUGGCAGCACUAGCCUUACCAAUGUCCAUAUCCAUGAAGGACACGUACUCAAAUAUCGACUGCUUGAGGAACUUCAUAUCUUCCUCUGAAGAAGUAGCAGGACGACCAGAUGGAGCAGGGCGAGAUGUCUUGACUUGCCCCCAGGAAGCGAACAAGUCUUGGAUGGAACGCACAAUCUUAUCAGCAUCCUGCAAAGAAAAUUGCCAAUACUGAAGAUUCUCACUACAACGAACAAGAUGGAAAUAAAAGUGAAGCAAAUAUUACCUCAUCAAUAAUCUUGGAAGAUGGUAUAUCCUCAGCCAAGUCUGCCACCUGUGGCUCCACCAUUUGCGAGGACUUUCCCUUGUCUGAGCGAG
RNAcentral lists this long non-coding RNA (577 nucleotides) under Olea europaea subsp. europaea. Lineage: Eukaryota; Viridiplantae; Streptophyta; Magnoliopsida; Lamiales; Oleaceae. The record is from RNAcentral.